This 540-nucleotide ribosomal RNA is filed under the name Symbiodinium sp. PCA-2012. RNAcentral describes it as "partial 24S ribosomal RNA". It matches the Rfam family "Eukaryotic large subunit ribosomal RNA", at positions 64 to 566 of the family's 3401-position model. Lineage: Eukaryota; Dinophyceae; Suessiales; Symbiodiniaceae. The record is from RNAcentral.
ACUAAAUAGGAUUCCCUCAGUAAUGGCGAAUGAACAGGGAUGAGCUCAGGCUGGAAACCGAUACAUCUGUGUCGGGCUGUAGCCUGCAGGCAUAGCGCUAUCGGCGGCUCGAGCGCAAGCCUCUUGGAAUAGAGCGUGUGCCCGGGUGAGAAUCCUGCAUUUCGCUCGAUGUCCGCUGUCCACAGUGCUUGUUCUGAGAGUCACGCUCCUCGGAAUUGGAGCGUAAAUCAGGUGGUAAGUUUCAUCCAAAGCUAAAUAGAAGCUCGAGACCAAUAGCAAACAAGUACCAUGAGGGAAAGAUGAAAAGGACUUUGGAAAGAGAGUUAAAAGUGUUUGAAAUUGCUGAGAGCGAAGCGAACGGAGCCACAUGUCGUGCUGAGAUUGCUGUGGGUCUUUGUGAGCCUUGAGCAUGUAAGCGCAAGCUGACUGCUUAUGCGUGAGCAUUUGCCCGCAGUGUUUCUCAGCAUGCGAGUCAUUAGCCACAUUUGUUUGAGGAUGGCCUUCAGCUCACAUGGUACACUUGUUAGUGUGCCUCUGUGC